This 671-nucleotide ribosomal RNA is filed under the name Shigella flexneri. RNAcentral's name for it is "bacterial SSU rRNA". It matches the Rfam family "Bacterial small subunit ribosomal RNA", at positions 87 to 754 of the family's 1533-position model. Lineage: Bacteria; Pseudomonadati; Pseudomonadota; Gammaproteobacteria; Enterobacterales; Enterobacteriaceae. The record is from RNAcentral.
GCUGACGAGUGGCGGACGGGUGAGUAAUGUCUGGGAAACUGCCUGAUGGAGGGGGAUAACUACUGGAAACGGUAGCUAAUACCGCAUAACGUCGCAAGACCAAAGAGGGGGACCUUCGGGCCUCUUGCCAUCGGAUGUGCCCAGAUGGGAUUAGCUUGUUGGGGGGGUAACGGCUCACCAAGGCGACAAUCCCUAGCUGGUCUGAGAGGAUGACCAGCCACACUGGAACUGAAACACGGUCCAAACUCCUACGGGAGGCAGCAGUGGGGAAUAUUGCACAAUGGGCGCAAGCCUGAUGCAGCCAUGCCGCGUGUAUGAAGAAGGCCUUCGGGUUGUAAAGUACUUUCAGCGGGGAGGAAGGGAGUAAAGUUAAUACCUUUGCUCAUUGACGUUACCCGCAAAAAAAGCACCGGCUAACUCCGUGCCAGCAGCCGCGGUAAUACGGAGGGUGCAAGCGUUAAUCGGAAUUACUGGGCGUAAAGCGCACGCAGGCGGUUUGUUAAGUCAGAUGUGAAAUCCCCGGGCUCAACCUGGGAACUGCAUCUGAUACUGGCAAGCUUGAGUCUCGUAGAGGGGGGUAGAAUUCCAGGUGUAGCGGUGAAAUGCGUAGAGAUCUGGAGGAAUACCGGUGGCAAAGGCGGCCCCCUGGACAAAGACUGACGCUCAGGUGC